GUCGUACUGACUUAAUGGAUAUUCAAGUUGAUGUGGUCUAUUAUGAGUCUGGCUCAUUGGUUCCUGUUGAUACUAUUUUGAUUAAUCCGACACCAAUAAAUGGAUUGAAGGUGGGUCCUGGUCCCCAGGCCCACCGAGGCCCAUGAUGACUUUGAGUUGGAAUUGUCGUGGGCUGGGCAACCCACGGACAAUUCGUGUU
Molecule: long non-coding RNA, 199 nt
Filed under: Panax ginseng (ginseng)
Lineage: Eukaryota; Viridiplantae; Streptophyta; Magnoliopsida; Apiales; Araliaceae
Description: long non-coding RNA (PGIN_LNC016160)
Source: RNAcentral